This 2889-nucleotide long non-coding RNA is filed under the name Xyrichtys novacula (pearly razorfish). Lineage: Eukaryota; Metazoa; Chordata; Actinopteri; Labriformes; Labridae. The record is from RNAcentral.
GCCAUGGGGUGUAGAUUGGCCUGAGCAAAUUUGGUGUCAGUGGGACGAAAGCCUUAGGAGGAGUUAGCCACAUUCCAAUGUGUGCUAAUCGGCAAAAAAUGCAAAAUAGCCUUUUAACCGUACAUUUUACAGAUACGCGCGCAUUGACUUUUUCGUAGAUCUUAUUGAGAUACAUGUGUGUGUCAAAUUUUGUGUCAAUAUGACAAAGCAUACAGGUAUGACAGUCAACAAUGUGUAUUUUCACCUUAUGGGACAAGAAAAAAUGGACUUUUUUCUCCUGCCAUGGGGGGCGCUCUUUUAGGGAGUAAAAAUUCCUUCACAAAUGUGUUGAUGGCUGGACAUUGCAUCAUCCUAGAAAACUUGGAGGCCAGUGAGGACAAAAAUGAAAAGUUAUAAGACUUUUAAGAAUGUGGAUUUUUGGGUUAUCUUUGGCGCCCCCUAGAACGUAAACCGUGGGGUGCAGCGUCAUGAUUUGUACAACUUUUAAUGGCCAUGGGGUGUAGAUUGACCUGAGCAAAUUUGGUGCCGGUGGAACGAAAGCCUUUGGAGGAGUUAGCGAAAUUCCAAUGUGUGCGGAUCGGCAGAAAAUGCGAAAUAGCCCUUUAACCGUACAUUAUACAGAUACGCGCUCUUUGACUUUUUCGUAGAUCUUAUUGAGAUACACGUGAUUGUCAAAUUUUGUGUCAAUAUGACAAAGCGUUCAGGCGUGACACUCUACAAUGUGUAUUUUCAUGUUAGGGGACAAGAAAAAAUGGACUUUUUUCACCUGCCAUGGGGGGGCGCUCUUUUGGGGAGUAAAAAUUCCUUCACAAAUGUGUUGAUGGCUGGACAUUGCAUCAUCCUAGAAAACUUGGAGGCCAGUGAGGACAAAAAUAAAAAGUUAUAAGACUUUUAAGAAUGUGGAUUUUUGGGUUAUCUUUGGCGCCCCCUAGAACGUAAACCGUGGGGUGCAGCGUCAUGAUUUGUACAACUUUUGAUGGCCAUGGGGUGUAGAUUGGCCUGAGCAAAUUUGGUGCCAGUGGAACGAAAGCCUUCGGAGGAGUUAGCGAAAUUCCAAUGUGUGCGGAUCGGCAAAAAAUGCGAAAUAGCCCUUUAACGGUACAUUUGACAGAUACGCCCGCACUGACUUUUUUGUAGGUCUUAUUGAGAUACACAUGUGUGUCAAAUUUUGUGUCAUUUUGACAAAGCGUACAGGCGUCAGGUGAAUUUUCACCAUAGGGGGCGCUAUGGAGCCAUUUUUCAUUUUUUUGUUUGGGCGACUUCAGAAUAUCGAAUUUUUCACCAGGCCCGGUCGUCCUGCCAAAUUUCCUGAGUUUUCGCCAGUGGGAAGUGGGCCAUUUUCCAGUUUAAAGCGGAGGAAAAAUAACGAAAGAAGAAUCCAUCAGGAACAAGAGGGCUCUCGCAGCUGCUUAGCAGCUACGCUCGGGCCCUAACUAGGGCCCCGGUGGGGCACUGGCGGGCCCGAGCUGUGUCGCGCCCCCCCCCCCCCCCCCCCCCCCAACGCGCUGCCUCCCCGUCCCAUUCGCGUCCUCUGGCCAUCGUCCUCUCUGGUAACGCCCAUCACUGCAAAGACCCUUUUCCUUCAUCGGCGUUUGCUGUUCUUCCUGCCAGUGCGUGUGGCUUUCACUUGCACUUGCCACAGCCAGCCUCGUGAGUGCCUAGCCUAUUGGAUAUCACUGUCACCUACACAGGACAGUCAUUACCUUUCUAUUAAUACUUUGUUUUUUAAUUUCACAUUAAUUUCCAUAUUGUCUAAACGACUGGAAAAAACUUGAGCCCCUGCCCCUGUAUAAUCAUGUGCACGUCCCUGUUCUAGCUCCAAAGUGAAUCUUGACUGCUCAUGUUCUCCUCAGAAGCAGUCACCUCACUCCACUCAGGUUACUGUACACAUGCACCAACUGCCUGCUUCAGGUUUGGAUGGAGCUUCAUGGUUGUCUUUUGGAGAAAUGAGCAGUCAAGUUGUGUUUGAAAUUUCAUUUUUUUCAGGGGCAAAAGGAAGUCUCUGCAUUGUUGUCAAAUAUGUAAAUAGCAUGUUUUUGCAGGUGCUGAAAAACAGACUCUGAGUGUGUAUGUGUGUGUGUGUGUGUGUGUGUGUGUGUGUGUGUGUGUGUGUGUGUGUGUGUGUGUGUGUGUGUGUGUGUGUGUGUGUAUCCUGCAGUGGCCAAAACGACUUUUAAGAAUGUGGAUAUUUGGGUCAUCUUUGGCGCCCCCUAGAACGUAAACCAUGGGGUGCAGCGGCAUGAUUUUUACAACUUUGAAUGGCCAUGGGGUGUAGAUUGGCCUGAGCAAAUUUGGUGUCAGUGGGACGAAAGCCUUAGGAGGAGUUAGCCACAUUCCAAUGUGUGCGAAUCGGCAAAAAAUGCAAAAUAGCCGUUUAGCCGUACAUUUUACAGAUACGCGCGCAUUGACUUUUUCGUAGAUCUUAUUGAGAUACACGUGUGUGUCAAAUUUUGUGUCAAUAUGACAAAGCGUACAGGCGUGACAUUCAACAAUGUUUAUUUUCACCUUAGGGGACAAGAAAAAAUUGACUUUUUUGUCCUGCCAUGGGGGGGCGCUCUUUUGGGGAGUAAAAAUUCCUUCACAAAUGUGUUGAUGGCUGGACAUUGCAUCAUCCUAGAAAACUUGGAGGCCAGUGAGGGCAAAAAUAAAAAGUUAUAAAACUUUUAAGAAUGUGGAUUUUAGGGUUAUUUUUGGCGCCCCCUAGAACCUAAGCCAUGGGGUGCAGCAUCAUGAUUUGUACAACUUUGAAUGGCCAUGGGGUGUAGAUUGGCCUGAGCAAAUGUGGUGCCGGUGGACCGAAAGCCUUCGGAGGAGUUAGUGAAAUUCCAAUGUGUGCGGAUCUGCAAAAAAUGCGAAAUAACCCUUUAACCGUACAUUUGACAGAUACGC